Small nucleolar RNA from Capsella rubella, 108 nucleotides. It matches the Rfam family "Plant small nucleolar RNA R71". From Rfam's summary of the family: R71 is a member of the C/D box family of snoRNAs containing the C (UGAUGA) and D (CUGA) box motifs. The record is from Rfam. NCBI's taxonomy places the organism in Eukaryota, Viridiplantae, Streptophyta, Magnoliopsida, Brassicales, Brassicaceae.
AAGACAUGGUGGGGGCACUGAGACUGAUAACUUUUAAAGCGCUCCCAUGCUUCACAGAGUGUUUCACCAUUCUUCUGAGUAAACCCAGAGAUCUUGUUGCACAGACGU